Molecule: ribosomal RNA, 497 nt
Filed under: uncultured bacterium
Lineage: Bacteria
Description: partial 16S ribosomal RNA
Rfam family: Bacterial small subunit ribosomal RNA
Source: RNAcentral
GACGAACGCUGGCGGCGUGCCUAAUACAUGCAAGUCGAGCGGACAGACGGGAGCUUGCUCCCUGAUGUUAGCGGCGGACGGGUGAGUAACACGUGGGUAACCUGCCUGUAAGACUGGGAUAACUCCGGGAAACCGGGGCUAAUACCGGAUGGUUGUCUGAACCGCAUGGUUCAGACAUAAAAGGUGGCUUCGGCUACCACUUACAGAUGGACCCGCGGCGCAUUAGCUAGUUGGUGAGGUAACGGCUCACCAAGGCAACGAUGCGUAGCCGACCUGAGAGGGUGAUCGGCCACACUGGGACUGAGACACGGCCCAGCAUCCUACGGGAGGCAGCAGUAGGGAAUCUUCCGCAAUGGACGAAAGUCUGACGGAGCAACGCCGCGUGAGUGAUGAAGGUUUUCGGAUCGUAAAGCUCUGUUGUUAGGGAAGAACAAGUGCCGUUCAAAUAGGGCGGCACCUUGACGGUACCUAACCAGAAAGCCACGGCUAACUACGUG